This is a long non-coding RNA of Gadus macrocephalus (Pacific cod), 755 nucleotides long. RefSeq lists it as uncharacterized. The record is from RefSeq and is a predicted model, not a curated record. The transcript has 2 exons. NCBI's taxonomy places the organism in Eukaryota, Metazoa, Chordata, Actinopteri, Gadiformes, Gadidae.
GGUUUACAUGACACCGUUUCAUUUAAUUCGAUUUAAAUCACAACCCCUUUUAAAAGUUUGUUACUAAUCAGUAAAAAAUACAUGGCUUGUGUAUUGUCGUUCUAAAUAGUGCCACAGAAUGAGAUAAAGAUAUAUAUUGGGAAAAUAUUGCAAAUGAAUGCAUUUAAAUUAUUGAAUCUAAAUAGUAUGGUGUGAUUUGUUAAACCACCUGUAACUCAACAAAGUCGCAUGGCUUAGUUAGCCAAUCAGAAAUUAGACCCGCAACCCUCUUUUUAGCGUCAACAGAUAGCAGUUACGGAGAUUCGUCCUUUUCGGGACGAGCCACAGAUGAGAUUCGACGAUAGACUACUGUUUUUUAAUAGUAACCUAAAGAUGAGAGAUUCCCCCGCCACUAAAAGUCCCGAAAAGCCUGUGCAGUAAAUCGAAACCCUUGGCCGGGUUUUUUUGGUUGUGUGGAUUGAGAUUGGAUCCUGGAUCGUCUGCAUCCUGCUCGCCCUCCCUGGAGGUCUGCAGCGGUGUACAGACUGGCGAGCUACCCCCCAUCGGAGCGAUCCUUUUGAACCCUGAACGGAAGGAGCAGGUGUUGUUGUUUCUGCAGUGUGGUAGGGGCAAGAGACUUUGAUUUAUUUAUUUAUUUUUUAAUCGCACGGACCAAACCGGAGUGGUUUUCCACAUGGACUGAGUGAAGCUAGAUCUUUGGAGUAAGCUGUUCUCAGUUUUGCUGUGUACUGUUUGUUUUGUUGAGACGUGUGAUU